This 90-nucleotide transfer RNA is filed under the name Candidatus Galligastranaerophilus faecipullorum. Its description in RNAcentral is "tRNA-Leu". It matches the Rfam family "tRNA". Rfam says of the family: Transfer RNA (tRNA) molecules are approximately 80 nucleotides in length. The record is from RNAcentral. Lineage: Bacteria; Bacillati; Candidatus Melainabacteria; Candidatus Gastranaerophilales; Candidatus Gastranaerophilaceae.
GCCCUGGUGGUGGAAUCGGUAGACACGUUGGACUUAAAAUCCAAUGGGGCUAAUAACCUCGUGCCAGUUCAAGUCUGGCCCAGGGCACCA